RNAcentral lists this ribosomal RNA (425 nucleotides) under uncultured bacterium. Its description in RNAcentral is "bacterial SSU rRNA". It matches the Rfam family "Bacterial small subunit ribosomal RNA", at positions 355 to 772 of the family's 1533-position model. The record is from RNAcentral.
UCGGGAAUUUUGCGCAAUGGACGAAAGUCUGACGCAGCAACGCCGCGUGGAGGACGAAGGUCUUCGGAUCGUAAACUCCUGUCAGGCGGGACGAAGGCUGCGGGGUAAAUAAUCCCGUAGCUUGACGGUACUGCCAGAGGAAGCCCCGGCUAACUCCGUGCCAGCAGCCGCGGUAAUACGGAGGGGGCGAGCGUUAUUCGGAAUUAUUGGGCGUAAAGGGCGCGUAGGCGGCCCGGUAAGUCAAAGGUGAAAUCCCUCGGCUCAACUGAGGAACUGCCUUUGAAACUGUCGGGCUUGAGGCCGGGAGGGGGUAGCGGAAUUCCCAGUGUAGCGGUGAAAUGCGUAGAUAUUGGGAGGAACACCGGUGGCGAAGGCGGCUACCUGGACCGGUUCUGACGCUGAGGCGCGAAAGCGUGGGUAGCAAA